UGAGGAAUAUUGGUCAAUGGGGGAAACCCUGAACCAGCGACGCCGCGUGAGGGAUGAAGGGGCUUUGCCCUGUAAACUUCUGUCGGAAGGGAAGAAAUGUCUCGAUUCGUCGGGACUGGGACUGUACCUUUAAAGGAAGGAUCGGCUAACUACGUGCCAGCAGCCGCGGUAAUACGUAGGAUCCAAGCGUUGUCCGGAUUUACUGGGUGUAAAGGGUGCGUAGGCGGACUUGUGCGUCAGGGGUUAAAUGCCACGGCUUAACCGUGGACCUGCCUCUGAUACGGCAAGCCUAGAGUGCGAGAGAGGAUGGUAGAAUUCUUGGUGUAGCGGUGAAAUGCGUAGAUAUCAAGAGGAAUACCAGUGGCGAAGGCGGCCAUCUGGCUCGCAACUGACGCUGAGGCACGAAAGCGUGGGGAGCAAACA
Molecule: ribosomal RNA, 423 nt
Filed under: uncultured prokaryote
Description: bacterial SSU rRNA
Rfam family: Bacterial small subunit ribosomal RNA
Source: RNAcentral